RNAcentral lists this ribosomal RNA (513 nucleotides) under uncultured bacterium. RNAcentral's name for it is "partial 16S ribosomal RNA". It matches the Rfam family "Bacterial small subunit ribosomal RNA", at positions 30 to 523 of the family's 1533-position model. The record is from RNAcentral.
AUUGAACGCUGGCGGCAUGCCUAACACAUGCAAGUCGAACGGCAGCACAGUAAAGAUUCCGGUCUUUAUGGGUGGCGAGUGGCGGACGGGGGAGUAAUGCGUAGGAAUCUGUCCUGGAGAGUCGGAUAACCCGAGGAAACUCGGGCUAAUACUGCAUGAUAACGAGAGAUCAAAGGCAGGGGACCCUUCGGGGCCUUGCGCCCGAGGAUGAGCAGACGUCGGAUUAGCUAGUUGGUGGGGUAAAGGCCUACCAAGGCGACGAUCCGUAGCUGGUCUGAGAGGAUGACCAGCCACACUGGGACUGAGACACGGCCCAGACUCCUACGGGAGGCAGCAGUGGGGAAUCUUGGACAAUGGGGGAAACCCUGAUCCAGCGAUGCCGCGUGUGUGAAGAAGGCCUUCGGGUUGUAAAGCACUUUAGUUGGGGAAGAAAAGUAAUGAGUGAAUAACUGAUUGCUCUGACGGUACCCAAAGAAUAAGCACCGGCUAACUCUGUGCCAGCAGCCGCCGUAA